Molecule: ribosomal RNA, 549 nt
Filed under: uncultured bacterium
Lineage: Bacteria
Description: partial 16S ribosomal RNA
Rfam family: Bacterial small subunit ribosomal RNA
Source: RNAcentral
UGGGGAAUAUUGCACAAUGGGCGAAAGCCUGAUGCAGCAACGCCGCGUGAGUGAUGAAGGCCUUCGGGUUGUAAAGCUCUGUCUUUUGGGACGAUAAUGAUGGUACCAAAGGAGGAAGCCACGGCUAACUACGUGCCAGCAGCCGCGGUAAUACGUAGGUGGCAAGCGUUGUCCGGAUUUACUGGGCGUAAAGGAUGCGUAGGCGGAUUUUUAAGUGAGAUGUGAAAACCCUAAGCUUAACUUGGGGACUGCAUUUCAUACUGGAAAUCUAGAGUGCGGGAGAGGAGAAUGGAAUUCCUAGUGUAGCGGUGAAAUGCGUAGAGAUUAGGAAGAACACCAGUGGCGAAGGCGAUUCUCUGGACCGUAACUGGCGCUGAGGCAUGAAAGCGUGGGUAGCAAACAGGAUUAGAUACCCUGGUAGUCCACGCCGUAAACGAUGAGUACUAGGUGUAGGAGGUAUCGACCCCUUCUGUGCCGCAGUUAACACAAUAAGUACUCCGCCUGGGAAGUACGAUCGCAAGAUUAAAACUCAAAGGAAUUGACGGGGUC